UACGAAGGGGGCUAGCGUUGUUCGGAAUCACUGGGCGUAAAGCGCACGUAGGCGGCUCGUUAAGUCAGAGGUGAAAGCCUGGAGCUCAACUCCAGAACUGCCUUUGAUACUGGCGAGCUCGAGUAUGGCAGAGGUUGGUGGAACUCCGAGUGUAGAGGUGAAAUUCGUAGAUAUUCGGAAGAACACCAGUGGCGAGGCGGCCAACUGGGCCAUUACUGACGCUGACGCGCGAAAGCGUGGGGAGCAAACAGG
This 252-nucleotide ribosomal RNA is filed under the name uncultured bacterium. Its description in RNAcentral is "partial 16S ribosomal RNA". It matches the Rfam family "Bacterial small subunit ribosomal RNA", at positions 524 to 776 of the family's 1533-position model. The record is from RNAcentral.